RNAcentral lists this transfer RNA (87 nucleotides) under Salvia splendens (bonfire salvia). It matches the Rfam family "tRNA". Rfam says of the family: Transfer RNA (tRNA) molecules are approximately 80 nucleotides in length. Lineage: Eukaryota; Viridiplantae; Streptophyta; Magnoliopsida; Lamiales; Lamiaceae. The record is from Rfam by way of RNAcentral.
CCGACCUUAGCUCAGUUGGUAGAGCGGAGGACUGUAGUUGGUUCGCAGAUAAUCCUUAGGUCGCUGGUUCGAAUCCGGCAGGUCGGA